UACCCGUCUUGAUACACGGACCAAGGAGUUUUACAUGCGCGCGAGUCGUUGGGUCGGACACGCUCCGCUAAACCCAUAGGCGCAAUGAAAGUGAAGGUUUCCCUUCGCGGGACCGAGGGAGGACGGAGUCGCGAGAGCGGCUCCCGCACUCCCGGGGCGUCUGAUUCCUCUUUUUGAGGGAAGGCGCACCCAGAGCGCACACGUUGGGACCCGAAAGAUGGUGAACUAU
RNAcentral lists this ribosomal RNA (229 nucleotides) under Palpopleura lucia. RNAcentral describes it as "partial 28S ribosomal RNA". It matches the Rfam family "Eukaryotic large subunit ribosomal RNA", at positions 646 to 834 of the family's 3401-position model. Lineage: Eukaryota; Metazoa; Arthropoda; Insecta; Odonata; Libellulidae. The record is from RNAcentral.